RNAcentral lists this ribosomal RNA (380 nucleotides) under Klebsiella sp. RNAcentral describes it as "bacterial SSU rRNA". It matches the Rfam family "Bacterial small subunit ribosomal RNA", at positions 85 to 467 of the family's 1533-position model. Lineage: Bacteria; Pseudomonadati; Pseudomonadota; Gammaproteobacteria; Enterobacterales; Enterobacteriaceae. The record is from RNAcentral.
CGGGUGACGAGCGGCGGACGGGUGAGUAAUGUCUGGGAAACUGCCUGAUGGAGGGGGAUAACUACUGGAAACGGUAGCUAAUACCGCAUAACGUCGCAAGACCAAAGUGGGGGACCUUCGGGCCUCAUGCCAUCAGAUGUGCCCAGAUGGGAUUAGCUAGUAGGUGGGGUAACGGCUCACCUAGGCGACGAUCCCUAGCUGGUCUGAGAGGAUGACCAGCCACACUGGAACUGAGACACGGUCCAGACUCCUACGGGAGGCAGCAGUGGGGAAUAUUGCACAAUGGGCGCAAGCCUGAUGCAGCCAUGCCGCGUGUGUGAAGAAGGCCUUCGGGUUGUAAAGCACUUUCAGCGGGGAGGAAGGCGGUGAGGUUAAUAACC